This 207-nucleotide ribosomal RNA is filed under the name uncultured bacterium. RNAcentral describes it as "partial 16S ribosomal RNA". It matches the Rfam family "Bacterial small subunit ribosomal RNA", at positions 568 to 774 of the family's 1533-position model. The record is from RNAcentral.
CGUGUAGGCGGUUAGUUAAGUCUGGCGUGAAAGCUCUCGGCUAAACCGGGAGAGGUCGUUGGAUACUGGCUGACUAGAGGACGGUAGAGGCGUGUGGAAUUCCGGGUGUAGUGGUGAAAUGCGUAGAGAUCCGGAGGAACACCAGUGGCGAAGGCGACACGCUGGGCCGUACCUGACGCUAAAGCGCGACAGCAUGGGGAGCAAACG